GCCGAGAUGGCCGAGUGGUUAAUGGCAGCAGACUGUAAAUCUGCCGGGCUGACGCCCUACGGAGGUUCGAAUCCUUCUCUCGGCACCA
This 88-nucleotide transfer RNA is filed under the name Acidobacteriota bacterium. Its description in RNAcentral is "Acidobacteria bacterium (freshwater metagenome) tRNA-Tyr". It matches the Rfam family "tRNA". Rfam says of the family: Transfer RNA (tRNA) molecules are approximately 80 nucleotides in length. Their secondary structure includes four short double-helical elements and three loops (D, anti-codon, and T loops). Lineage: Bacteria; Pseudomonadati; Acidobacteriota. The record is from RNAcentral. RNAcentral also lists the same sequence under 1 other name.